RNAcentral lists this ribosomal RNA (109 nucleotides) under Uronychia sp. WWS-2011a. RNAcentral's name for it is "5.8S ribosomal RNA". It matches the Rfam family "5.8S ribosomal RNA", at positions 1 to 108 of the family's 154-position model. Rfam says of the family: 5.8S ribosomal RNA (5.8S rRNA) is a component of the large subunit of the eukaryotic ribosome. It is transcribed by RNA polymerase I as part of the 45S precursor that also contains 18S and 28S rRNA. The record is from RNAcentral. Lineage: Eukaryota; Ciliophora; Spirotrichea; Euplotida; Uronychiidae.
CUAAAAUCUCAACGAUGGAUAUCUUGGUUCCCACUACGAUGAAGAACGCAGCGAAGUGCGAUAAGCAAUGCGAAUUGCAGAACCGUGAAUCAUUAGAAUUUUGAACGCA